GUGGCUGAUUUCAUUGGAGAUCCCUGUGUUCCCAUGGCCUUCUGGGGCCAACCAUGAAAUAGCUGAUUCAGCCACAAGGAACUGAACACAUCUCACUUCCUUUCCUUUUUCUCCUUCCUGUAGUUGUAUUUCAUAUGGAAUUUUGAUGAGCUUUAGGUGUAUCUGUGCAUUUAUGAUCCAAAGGUUAUAAAAACCAAUGAGAUACCAAAAGUACUACCAAUAGGAUAAUAUGUGGUGAGAAGAGGGUACCAAGGAGAAAAGGAAGCAAGAGAUAACAAAGAAAAGGGGGAAAGGGGAAUAAUAAGAAAAGAAGGAUGGAACUGAAAGGAAAAUGAAAGGAAGGAAAUGGCAAAUCUAAAGAAAGGGAAAAGAUCAAAGGAAAAAGGGCAGAUGGAGGAGAGAAAAAAGAGAAGAUGAAUGGGUGGGAUGGGGGAAGGUGAAGGAAAGGAAAAGCUGAGUAAGGAAUCAUGAAACAACUCUGGAGUGAUGGGUUUUGCAGGUGCAUCUCAGCAGGUUGCCUCUGAUCGGCUCUCUCAGGGACACAGCAUGUUACCUGGACUAAUUUAUAAAGGAAAUGAAAAGGAAAUGGACUUGUUAUAAUGAACACCAUUAAUUCACCUCUUCAGACUUCACUGUUUGAACAGAGAGUAUCAAACUACUCAAUUGUCAUUUGUCUAUUCCAUGCUUCACUGUUGCCUGUUGGAAAUGACUGGUGAGCACAUAUGCCUUGAAUGGCUGCGCAGCCACUAAUUAGCAUAUAUAUUGUUUGUCCUGGUACAAAUUUAUAGCAAACAGCAAUAUUUUACACUCCAGUAAAGUUAAUAAAUGAGGCUUUAGGCUAUAAAAAUUUCAUGUUCUUUUGUGCAAAGGUCAAUUAUAAAUAGUUAAGCACAUAUUCAUCCAAAACUCUGGGCUCUAGCACAGGAAGAAUAAAAUAUAUAUUGGUCAAUCCACGUGCCAGCUGGAUCAAUGCCUCUUGUGUUGCUGCUGAGACACCUCACUCCAAAUGGCCAUUCAGCUGUAGAAUGCUUUUGGCCAUGAGAUGAUGGAGGUCCCCUUGAAGCUUGGAGGAGGAAGAUGCUCUACAGUGCUGGAGGUGUGUUAGGAUCACACUGAGCCAGGCUAGGGGAGAAUUUAAUGAUCAAAGUUAUCUUCUAUGAGAAGAAGUUCUGGUGUUAGGAAGUCGGUUGCUUACACUCAACAGUGCCUCUGAUGCUAAGCACAAAAAACAGGGAGAAGCUCAAACUAAGGGACAUGAAUACCCUUCCAGACAGAAGGAAACCUGGACUUAAAAUUAUCUUUUAUUUGCAUUAUGGAAACACAGAGCUGCAUUGAGCUCAGCCUUAUAAAUAUUCAGAAGAGAAGUGGCCUGUAUCUUAAAGGGCAUCAUCUACAUAUGAGUGAUGAAGAGAGAGGUUCUGCGGUUAUGUGAGUUGUUACUAAUAUUAUUCCUUUAUAUUACACUUUCAACAUUAAGACUGCAUAUGUGAACACAGAUUAAGACAGACAUGUCUCCUCAGGACUGAGAACUUCUAAGGCAAGGAAUCAAUGAUGUGCAGAUGUAUCUUCUUCCAUUGCAGGUGGAGAGGAAACACAUGGGCAUUUCCUGCAACAGUCUUCUUGAGGUUGGAGGUAUUAAAUCACAAAUUUUCUUGAGGGAUCGUGCCAAAACUGGUCUGUGACAGUGCGACAAGGAAAUUCAAUCAGAGGACACUUGAGAUUAGAAAAAAAUGAGGGUAGAAUGCAAGAGUUUGGCUGCUGGAAAGAGGCACUGAACAGCAGCAUCUGAAGACUUGACACUGCAGGAGGUUAGGAAUGAAGAGGGCUGUAGCCCAGAUCACAGAGGAAGCGGUGUUAAACAAACUGUCAUCUAGCAUUUGUCAUCAGUGUUAACCUGGUAACCAGGCAACUGAGAGAGAUGUAAGAAGCUCACUGCAUCAUCCAGAGUGAAGGGAUGCAUUUGGAGGGGAUGAGAGAGCUUAAGAGCUCUGUGAUUCAUGGGAUCAGCAACUCAUCACCAGGGGUGGUUGGGCUGGCAACUCAGGACGCACACAAGAGACUUCAUAGGAUAGAUCAACAGCGAAGUAGGGAAAGGAUGGAAAUGAAGAGAAGAAAUCUGCACAAAUGGGAGCUGUAACAAAGAUCUGAAACUUCAGUUAUUGCUAUCACCAGGAACCUCUCUCUGAGCAAUUUCUGCAGUUGUACUAAAUGCAGUAUUUGCUUGGGUUUAAUACCCUCCCCCUCAAGGGCUGUGUGUCCCAUGCAUCUCCAUGAAGAUUUAUUUUCAUCUACAGGGCAUGUUCGUGCCAAGACGUCAGUCCUCCUCUGCCCAGGGACUGCAUCAAGCAUCAUCAGCUUUAACAGGGGAAGGAGAGCCACAGGACAGCAGUGAACUUCCAAACAGGGGCAGGUGGGGAUAUGGAGGAGUAAAGCCGCUGAGGACAGUUGACAACCAGUGACUUGCUUGUUUCUAUUGAGAGGACACCUCCUGGUUGAACUGGUUUCAUACUGGGAAUGGUUUGAAGGUCUUGUACAAGAAAGGUGAAGUUUGCCACGGAACAAAAAACUAUGUAGAGGAGAGAUGAAAUCAGGAAUGCUUGGCAUGUGGAGAGACAUGAAAGGGGAGAUGCACAUACCCUGUGAAUUUGUUCCCCUGCAUUUUUUCUGCUAAACAUUAUGGGAACUCUGCUGAAGCAGGCAAUCCAGUAGAGAGUGGUAACAAGAUUGGAAAGAAGAAGCAGCCACCCAAGGUCAGCAGAAGCCUUUGGAUGCCAGUGCCAGGAUGGCUCAGCAAAGGUCACCACAAAUGGACAGAGAUGUCUUUUCUGCCAAAGGCUGUUUAGCAUGUGAAACAGGUGGGCUGGAGUCGUCAGGGGAGAUCCAAGGAUGCACCUGGCACCCAGUGAGGCGAGGGAUGCUGAUGUCUGCACUUGGUCAGAAGGAGACAAAGCUCAGCAAAGACAGUGCAGCUGUGACUGUCGUGUUGUCUUUGCUUCGUUUACAGUGCCUGUUAAUUACACAAGGUCUGUUCAGGGAACAGCCCUCCUUCUGUCCUGCUUCUGUAUAUGCUGGUUUGGCUGUGUUUUCCUCCAGACCUCAGUCCCGGGAUUGGGAGGAACCUAUUAGCUGACUUUUUGCCUCAGAGGGGACCUAAGUCAUGCACAGGAUGUCCAAGGAGCUGGAUGCCACUCGGCUGGUCCUGCCCUUUCUCCUUUUUUCCUCUUUAUGUGUCCAGUGACCAGUUCUCAUUUCUGCUUCUAGUUGUGUAAUACCCCUACUCUAAAUUGAGCUGUGAAACAACUUCAUUUUGUCUCAAUUCAUACAGGAAAAGAGGAAAAAGUAAUUUCAGAUAUAGCUGCUAGAAACCUGGAUUCUGCAUACUGUAUAUAGUUCCGGAUUUGCCUUUCAAAGGUUUGGAAUUACUAGUGCCAGAGGGAAAACAAUUCAGAAGUUUAAGACACAGACCUUUGGUUAGUCCCUCUAACUCGAGAGGUUGUAUUUGUUAGACAGCAGUGUGCUGGUUACAAGCUCACUUAGAAAAUGUCUACACAGCUGUUUUCAGACUCCUGGGAUUUUAAAACAUUUAAAUAAAGUUUGCUGAAGGCUUUGAGUACAGCCUGGAUUUUGCUGUAUUGAGAGCAAAUGCUGCAUUCCCCCACCUGUGAACAGAACCCAGUCUGGAGAUGCUGUGCUUGAGCAAAACUGACAAACAUUGUAAAAGUACAUCUUCAUAUGGAAGUCAGCAGAAGUCCUGUCAGGCUGCAAUCCAAGCAAAAUGAGUGGAAAUCUGACUGAAGAAAUCCAGGAGAAAUGGGUGUAGUUAUAUCUUGCAUUAUGAAGAGUUCUGGAUGAGGGUGGACGCUAAUGGAGAAGAAAACAAUGGAAGCAUCCUUUAGUGAGACAAAGCCAUAGAUGAAAAAAGAAGAGCAGCAUCAAGGGAAUCAAUCUCUUGGGACGUCCUGUGGUCUGAAUGUACAUCUUGUAUUGCUGAGAUAGGAGCUGGGGAUGCGGUGUGUAAAGAUGUGAAUUUUACAAGGAAAAAGAAUCAUCCAGGAGACCUCUGGGAAAUCACAGAAUGUGUGUACACCUCAUGCACUGUUCUGCUUGGCCAGAUGAGCCACUGUUCUGCUCCAAUGCCUUGCACCGAGGGAAGUCACAUCCCAUGAGAGAGCUGACUCUUUUUGGAGCCAUCACCUCAUUUCCUAUGCUGUGUGAUGCCUUCAGCCUCAGCCAUGGGGAAUGUGAUGCGCACCAGUGUUGACAGACUGGCCGGAAGACUGAGGUGUGAGACAAACCCAUGAGCUUCACACAGCCCAGCCGGAUCUAGACCAGCACGUGUGCAUCUUUGAGACCUCGUGACUUCAGAUCCCCUUGGCACGUCCUGUCCUAAAUGGCUCGGAGCACUCUGCAAAACCAUCAAAGCUGAACUCCUUUUUCCCGUUUCGACAAGUCUGUGUUCUAGAUGAGAUGAAUGACAGGUAUUCAAAACCAGACUUAAUGGACUGGUGUUGUUCGUUAUUGAGCCAAAGCUGCUAAGAGGGAAGGGUCAGUGACAGGAUUGGUUUGGGGAGUAAAAGAGUCCUCCCUGUGCAGCGAG
This 4597-nucleotide long non-coding RNA is filed under the name Gallus gallus (chicken). Its description in RNAcentral is "lncRNA (ENSGALG00010029091.1)". Lineage: Eukaryota; Metazoa; Chordata; Aves; Galliformes; Phasianidae. The record is from RNAcentral.